This 2614-nucleotide long non-coding RNA is filed under the name Sus scrofa (pig). RNAcentral describes it as "lncRNA (ENSSSCG00015025074.1)". Lineage: Eukaryota; Metazoa; Chordata; Mammalia; Artiodactyla; Suidae. The record is from RNAcentral.
AUCUUCUUGAGAGUCAGGUUUUGCUAGUCUAUGAAGUGAUAACAUAUUUACCAUACCAUUGCAUCAACUUCAGGAUUAAGGAAGACUGUAUUCACCUGCUGAGGGAGUAAAAUACCAUUACCCAUGAGGAUGCGGGUUUGAUUCCUGGCCUUGCUCAGUGGGUUGGGGAUCUCGCCGUUGCUGUGAGGUGUAGUAUGGGUCACAUUUGCGGCUUGGAUCCCAUGUCACUGUGGCUGUGGCAUAGGCCAACAGCUGCAGCUCCAAUCUGACCCCUAGCCUGGGAACUCCACAUGCCGCAGGUCUGGCCCUAAAAAAGACAAAAAAAAAAAAAAAACACCAAAAACAAACAACAACCAAAAAAACUAUUGAGCAUUUACUAUGAUUUAAGCACUGUAGUAAAAUAUGUGUACAAAAAAAGAAAAAAUAUGUGUACAUAUGCACAUAUUUUCUGUUAUUUCUCUAUAUUAGGUAUACAUACAUCUCAAAUGAGAAUGUAUAUUCUCAUUUAAUUCUCAUAAGAGUAUAUUAAAAGCAUUAUUAUUAUUUUUUAAUAGAUGAGACUGAGCUUCAGGGAGAUUAUAUAAUUUUCUUUAGGUCACACAGCUAUCAAGUGUCAGAGCUGGGACUCAAGUCCAGGUUUGGCUACAAAGCCUAUGCUCUUUGGUGUCCAGCAAUACUUUCCAGCAAACCCUCCCUCCAUUAAAUGUCUUAUUUUGCCAAAUGACAUCCAUUAAUAAAAUUUUAGAUGCAUUCUCAUCAAAAGCAAUUAUACACUGAAUCGAAAACUUUUUGAGAUUAAGAAGUUAAUUGACUAGGGUGGAAGAGAGAGAUGUUCAGGGUAGUGAAAGCAACUGAAAAGAACUGCAGUGGUUCAGGGGAGAAAGAUGAGACCCUAGACUAAGUGGGUGUGCUGGUAAGAAUGGAGGAGAGAAAAAUGGAUAUGAGAUGUUUCUUAGCUCAGGCUGCUAUAGCAAAGUACCAUAGACUAGGUGCUUUAUAAAUAACAUGGUUAUUUCUCAUAGAUCUGGAGGCUGGAAGUCUGUGAUUAGAGUACCAGCAUAGUUGAGUUCUGGUGAGGGGUCUCCACCAGGUGGAGAGCAAAGAGAGGUAGCAAGCUCUCUCGAUUUAUAAAGGCACUUAAUCCCACUCAUGACCUCAUCUAAUCCUAAUUACCUCUCCAAAGCCCUCCCUUCGUAUACCAUCAAAUUGAGGGAUAGGAUUUCAGUGUGUAAAUUUGCGGGGAACACAAACAUUCAGUCCAUAACACAGGUGCCAGUGAAGAUAGUGUGGCCAUUGCUAGUGUUCUGUGCUUCUUGAACUUAUGCAACUCACUCCUUCCUCAGUGCCCCCUGCCUGGAAGAGUCUUCCUCCAGGCCUUUAAAUAGCUGGCUCUUUCUUGUCAUCCGUGUCUCAGCUCAAAUAACACUACUCAUGAUAGAGAAACAUUUCAUUAUCUUGAAAAUUCAUCAAUAAAGGGAGAGAAUUGAGCAUUUAUCCUGCCUUUCCUAGAUGAACUGGGUAACAAAAUAGUAGAUAAAGGGGCAUGUCUUUUUCUAAAGUUAUUGCCAUAAUAAAAAUGAUUAAAAUUAGAAUAUCACCAUUUUGCAAUCCUUGAUAAAACAGAUGGAUAUAGGAGCAUCAACAGCUUCUAAGAUUAUUAAAAAACAUCAGACAUUUUGUCUAUCCUAUAGUCAUACGAAAGGGAUUGGAACUUGAGUUUGACCUAGUCUUUGAUCCAGCUGCCAGUUUGCAGGAAAUACAGACAGGAACUAAACAAUGCUUAUGCAGUUAGCAAAAUACAGAGAUGCUUCAUAAGUCAAACUCAAGUUCUUCCAUAAAAAAAAAAUCACCUCUUAGGCCUUUCUCAACCAUGUUCUCGAAAUUAGUAUCUACUAUCCAAGUUACUAUUCACAUUACCCUGUUUGAUUUUCCCCAUAGCCCUUGUCAUCAACUGAGGAGGUUUCCUUACAUGAGAAGCAAUAUAGCCUAUCAGUUAAGAGAACAAACUAUAGCAUCAGACUGCUCAAAUUCAAAUCUUGACUACUUGGUAGCUAUAUGACCUUAAAAAACUUCAGAGCUAUAGACUUCUGUUUCUCAACUAUAAAACAGGAUUAAUAUCAGUGCCUAUAUCAUAGGGUCAUUAGGAGUAUUGAAUGAAUUAGCAUAUCUAAAGAGCUUGUCACAGUGCCUGAUACAGGCUAAGCAUUAUAAAUGCUAAUACAUAUGUCUUUUUUUUUUUUUUAAUUUCAUUUUUGGCCACUCUGAGGCAUAUGGAGUUUCCGGGCCAGGGAUCAAAUCCGGGCCAGGGAGUUGAGACCUACCCUGCAGCUGUGGCAACGCCAGAUCCUUUAACCCACUGUGCUGGGCCAGGAAUUGAAUCUGCAUCCUAGAGCUGUAGAGACGCUACCAAUCCUGUUGCCCCACAGCAGGAACUCUUGUAUGUAAGUCUUUCUGCACUAUUCCCAGCACCUAAAAGUGCCUAGCAUAUAUAUCACAUGCACAAAAAAUGUUUGUUGAAUGAAGGGCUUGAAUAAAGGUGGCAAAGAAAUAUAGGAAAGAGACAUGUAAAAUCUUUUUAAAAGUUUAUUUAUUUUACAUGGAUUAUUUAAGAUAU